Molecule: ribosomal RNA, 392 nt
Filed under: uncultured bacterium
Lineage: Bacteria
Description: bacterial SSU rRNA
Rfam family: Bacterial small subunit ribosomal RNA
Source: RNAcentral
GACGAACGCUGGCGGCGUGCUUAACACAUGCAAGUCGAGCGGUAAGGCCCUUUCGGGGGUACACGAGCGGCGAACGGGUGAGUAACACGUGGGUGACCUGCCCUCAGCUCUGGGAUAAGCCUGGGAAACCGGGUCUAAUACUGGAUAUGACUCCAUGACGCAUGUUGUGGGGUGGAAAGCCUUGUGCGGCUGAGGAUGGGCCCGCGGCCUAUCAGCUUGUUGGUGGGGUGAGGCCUACCAAGGCGACGACGGGUAGCCGGCCUGAGAGGGCGACCGGCCGCACUGGGACUGAGACACGGCCCAGACUCCUACGGGAGGCAGCAGUGGGGAAUCUUGCGCAAUGGGCGAAAGCCUGACGCAGCGACGCCGCGUGAGGGAUGACGGCCUCGGUG